This 253-nucleotide ribosomal RNA is filed under the name uncultured bacterium. Its description in RNAcentral is "partial 16S ribosomal RNA". It matches the Rfam family "Bacterial small subunit ribosomal RNA", at positions 524 to 776 of the family's 1533-position model. The record is from RNAcentral.
GACGUAGGGCGCGAGCGUUGUCCGGAUUUAUUGGGCGUAAAGAGCUCGUAGGCGGCUUGUCGCGUCGUUCGUGAAAACCCGGGGCUCAACUCCGGGCUUGCGGGCGAUACGGGCAGGCUAGAGUUCGGUAGGGGAGACUGGAAUUCCUGGUGUAGCGGUGAAAUGCGCAGAUAUCAGGAGGAACACCGGUGGCGAAGGCGGGUCUCUGGGCCGAUACUGACGCUGAGGUGCGAAAGCGUGGGGAGCAAACAGG